Molecule: non-coding RNA, 69 nt
Filed under: Deltaproteobacteria bacterium
Lineage: Bacteria; Pseudomonadati; Myxococcota; Myxococcia
Description: Fluoride sequence
Rfam family: Fluoride riboswitch aptamer (crcB RNA motif)
Source: RNAcentral
UGGAAUCCCGGCGAUGGAGUUCGCCGUGAAAUGCCUGUGUCGAUAGAGGCUGAUGACUCCUGCCCGACA